This 460-nucleotide ribosomal RNA is filed under the name uncultured bacterium. RNAcentral's name for it is "partial 16S ribosomal RNA". It matches the Rfam family "Bacterial small subunit ribosomal RNA", at positions 338 to 795 of the family's 1533-position model. The record is from RNAcentral.
CCUACGGGUGGCAGCAGUGAGGAAUAUUGGUCAAUGGGCUAAGGCCUGAACCAGCCAAGUCGCGUGAGGGAAGACGGUCCUAUGGAUUGUAAACCUCUUUUGUCGGGGAGCAACGAGGCCACGUGUGGCCGAAGUGAGAGUACCCGAAGAAAAAGCAUCGGCUAACUCCGUGCCAGCAGCCGCGGUAAUACGGAAGUUCCGGGCGUUAUCCGGAUUUAUUGGGUUUAAAGGGAGCGUAGGCCGCAUGUCAAGCGUGCUGUGAAAUGUCCGGGCUCAACCCGGGCCUUGCAGCGCGAACUGGCGUGCGUGAGGCCGCGGAAAGCAGGCGGAAUUCGUCGUGUAGCGGUGAAAUGCUUAGAUAUGACGAAGAACCCCGAGUGCGAAGGCAGCUUGCUGCAGCGGAACUGACGCUGAUGCUCGAAAGCGCGGGUAUCGAACAGGAUUAGAUACCCCGGUAGUC